This 474-nucleotide ribosomal RNA is filed under the name uncultured bacterium. Its description in RNAcentral is "bacterial SSU rRNA". It matches the Rfam family "Bacterial small subunit ribosomal RNA", at positions 325 to 793 of the family's 1533-position model. The record is from RNAcentral.
CACGAUCACUCCUACGGGGAGGCAGCAGUAGGGAAUCUUCCACAAUGGGCGCAAGCCUGAUGGAGCAACACCGCGUGAGUGAAGAAGGGUUUCGGCUCGUAAAGCUCUGUUGUUAAAGAAGAACACGUAUGAGAGUAACUGUUCAUACGUUGACGGUAUUUAACCAGAAAGUCACGGCUAACUACGUGCCAGCAGCCGCGGUAAUACGUAGGUGGCAAGCGUUAUCCGGAUUUAUUGGGCGUAAAGAGAGUGCAGGCGGUUUUCUAAGUCUGAUGUGAAAGCCUUCGGCUUAACCGGAGAAGUGCAUCGGAAACUGGAUAACUUGAGUGCAGAAGAGGGUAGUGGAACUCCAUGUGUAGCGGUGGAAUGCGUAGAUAUAUGGAAGAACACCAGUGGCGAAGGCGGCUACCUGGUCUGCAACUGACGCUGAGACUCGAAAGCAUGGGUAGCGAACAGGAUUAGAUACCCUGGUAG